Molecule: ribosomal RNA, 500 nt
Filed under: uncultured bacterium
Lineage: Bacteria
Description: partial 16S ribosomal RNA
Rfam family: Bacterial small subunit ribosomal RNA
Source: RNAcentral
AUUGAACGCUGGCGGAAUGCUUUACACAUGCAAGUCGAACGGCAGCACGGACUUCGGUCUGGUGGCGAGUGGCGAACGGGUGAGUAAUGUAUCGGAACGUGCCCAGUCGUGGGGGAUAACGUAGUGAAAAUUACGCUAAUACCGCAUACGAUCUAUGGAUGAAAGCGGGGGAUCGCAAGACCUCGCGCGAUUGGAGCGGCCGAUAUCAGAUUAGGUAGUUGGUGGGGUAAAGGCCCACCAAGCCAACGAUCUGUAGCUGGUCUGAGAGGACGACCAGCCACACUGGAACUGAGACACGGUCAAGACUCAUACGGAAGGCAGGAGUGGUGAAUUUAGGACAAUGGGCGAGAGCCUGAUCCAGCCAUUCCACGUGCAGGAUGAAGGCCCUCGGGUUGUAAACUGCUUUUGUACAGAACGAAAAGGUUUCUACUAAUACUAGGAGCUCAUGACGGUACUGUAAGAAUAAGCACCGGCUAACUACGUGCCAGCAGCCGCCGUAA